UACGUAGGGGGCUAGCGUUGUCCGGAAUCAUUGGGCGUAAAGCGCGCGUAGGCGGCCCGGUAAGUCCGCUGUAAAAGUCAAAGGCUCAACCUUUGAAUGUCAGUGGAUACUGCCGGGCUAGAGUCCGGAAGAGGCGAGUGGAAUUCCUGGUGUAGCGGUGGAAUGCGCAGAUAUCAGGAGGAACACCAAUCGCGAAGGCAGCUCGCUGGGACGUUACUGACGCUGAGACGCGAAAGCGUGGGGAGCAAACAGG
Molecule: ribosomal RNA, 253 nt
Filed under: uncultured bacterium
Lineage: Bacteria
Description: partial 16S ribosomal RNA
Rfam family: Bacterial small subunit ribosomal RNA
Source: RNAcentral